RNAcentral lists this long non-coding RNA (442 nucleotides) under Equus caballus (horse). Its description in RNAcentral is "lncRNA (ENSECAG00000046068.1)". The record is from RNAcentral. Lineage: Eukaryota; Metazoa; Chordata; Mammalia; Perissodactyla; Equidae.
GAAGCUGGAAGAAUUUUGAGAACAGUCCUGUCUGCCCGAAGAGGGAGCCAAGUCCCUCUGCCAUACCUAGAAGUCUGUGUGAGGCAGAGCUACGUGGGUGAGCAGAGAAAACCUGGAGCUGGAGCUGCUUGAGCCUUGCUUGCCCUUGGACCCUGCAGCUGAAUGAGGAAACUGAAACUGAGAAAAGCUAAGGAACUUGCUCAUAUGCUGGAUGAACUGGGAUUCCAGUGCAGGCUGAGUGACCCAGGGCCUGAGCUUCACACAAGGCUUGAAGAGGACCUGUCCUGCAAAGAAUGCCAGGGAGCCACAUGAAGGAAGAAGAGCUUUUCUCACCCAGAAUCGAUACUGUUGUGACUCCCAGGGAGGUGGUCCAAAGGAUUCUUUGGGUUUCAUUUUUCAGGUUUAAAUUUAGUCCAUCUAGAAUUUAUGGUGGUAUCUUGUG